This 360-nucleotide ribosomal RNA is filed under the name uncultured bacterium. Its description in RNAcentral is "partial 16S ribosomal RNA". It matches the Rfam family "Bacterial small subunit ribosomal RNA", at positions 338 to 696 of the family's 1533-position model. The record is from RNAcentral.
CCUACGGGUGGCAGCAGUGAGGAAUCUUUGUCAAUUGGCGCGAGCCUGAACCUGCCAAGUCGCGUGAAGGAUUACUGCCCUACGGGUUGUAAACCUCUUUUAUAAAGGACUAAAGUGAGGCACGUGUGCCUUUUUGUAUGUACUUUAUGAAUAAGGAUCGGCUAACUCCGUGCCAGCAGCCGCGGUAAUACGGAGGAUGCGGGGGUUAUCCGGAUUGAUUGGGUUUAAGGGGUGCGUAGGGGGUUCGUUAUGUCAGUGGUAAACGUGAGGGGUCCAACCCCUUCCCGCCAUUGAUACUGGCGGUCUAGAGUGGAAGAGAAGUAUGCGGAAUGCGUGGUGUAGCGGUGAAAUGCAUAGAUA